This 504-nucleotide long non-coding RNA is filed under the name Monodelphis domestica (gray short-tailed opossum). RNAcentral describes it as "lncRNA (ENSMODG00000035034.2)". The record is from RNAcentral. Lineage: Eukaryota; Metazoa; Chordata; Mammalia; Didelphimorphia; Didelphidae.
AUUUUUAGUCCUGGGAAAACUUGAGGCAAAAAGAGGUGAAAUGACUUGUCCAGAUCACAUUAUAAAUCAGCAGUUGAAUGAGGAUAGAGUCUAAGUCUACACAUACUGUCUCAUUCUGACUCCCAAGAAAGUAGCCAGGGAAAGACAGACAGUGAAGGUGUUUUUCUUCAGGCCCUGUCUCUUCAGAGGACUGAAUGGUGAAUCUAUGACAUGCGUUCUGGUGCAUGCCAGAGGGGGCUGCUCCCUUCUCUCUCCCCAUGCAUGCCUGAGGACAUUUCUCCCAUCACCUGCCUCUCUGCCCAGCAACCCAAUGGGAGUGCUUUCUCCCUCUCCAGUCUGGGCAUGAAAACUUCUUUCACCAAUGUAGAUCAACAUCUCAUCUUAAAUUUAUUAUAAAAAAUUGUCUGGAACAUGAAGAACUUGGGAACAUAUCAAACUCAUUCUUGAAGUCUGAACCAGAUUAAAAUGUAAUGGAGAAAUGCUUAAUGAAAUAAAUUAAAGAAC